Molecule: long non-coding RNA, 1750 nt
Organism: Zea mays
Lineage: Eukaryota; Viridiplantae; Streptophyta; Magnoliopsida; Poales; Poaceae
Exons: 2
Source: RefSeq, a predicted model, not a curated record
GCGCGCGGUAGCUGCCUCGUGGACCAACGAUCGGUGCACAUGCCCCGGUCCCGCCCGUCGGUCGAGUACUGGUGCGGAACUGCGGCUACAGGAAGUUGGGUUUUUAGCGGCCGCGGGACCAGUGGCCUGGGCUGGGUGUUUCUCGCCCCGGGCAGUGGCGCUCUGCGCCGCGCCGUGUCGGCGUCGGCGGCCAUUGCCCGCAACAGCGGUCGGCGGGGGAUUUCCGCGGUCACGACACCGAACUGGAUGAAUGGCUAUUUGUUCGCCGAGUUUUAGUGCGACGGACCGGAGUACUGGACCGUAGACCGAUCGCCUAGGUCCCGAACGGGGGGCGGCCGCGUCUGAGGAUCAGUGGCACAGAGGCUGGUGACCAGUGGCAGUGAAGCAGCGUCGUGUGCCGGAGGGCGGAGGAAGGGUGGCCAACGCGCCGACGGCAGUGGGCCCAAGUUAGGCCGGGGUGGUGGAGCGCAUGUGACGCGAACGUGAGGAUCUGAGGAUGAUGGUGGCGGGUUUCUGCUUUGUAUCACGAAUAAAGCAAGCCAAGGCGGACGAGGUCAUCGCAGAAUCUGGUGGAACGCAGUAUGACCGUAUUGUGGAGCCCGUUGACGAGUACACAACAUGGAGCUGGACUCGGUUGUUGUGAUGAACAAGCGCAUACGAGAUGAAGGACCUGCUCCUUCUGUUAGGUUAGGUACAGACUACAGACAGAUUCAAGAAAUGGUUCACCGAUUCUCUCUUUUUUCAGAAUAAACAGACCUUUUGUUGCUGUAGUUGUUGUUGUUUGAGCAGAUGCAUGAAGAUAGUGAUAGAAUUGAGACAGGUUGGUGUCAUCGAAUAGGCCAUCCAUGUGAUGCAAUGCAACACACACCGACAAUACUGAAAAAUGUUCCAGUGGGGGUUUCAGAUGGAGGUAUUUGUUGCAGGCAUCCGUGAUGGUUGUUCGUGAAAUGCACUGCAACCCGCGCCUGUGUCUUGAGUUUUGACCCACCACGCUAACCUGAAUCCCAAUAACCGCCCGCUGCUUAAAAGUAGACAAGCUGCCCGUGGGAGCCGUCAUUCCUGAAGCGCCACGCAACCGAACCGAUGCAGCAGGACGCCCUUGGAUUCAAACCACCGGUCUCAACAGCACACGUGCAGUCCGUUGUCCGUGCCCAGCAUCGGAGUACUCGUGGUUGCACGGCUCACUCGUACCAUGAACAAUGAUAGUUGGCGUACCUGCUUCUGAACGCGGCCAACUCGAGAUCGUCUCGUUGUGCCGCCGGCGUGCGAGUUCGAUCCGUCACGCACAGACUGUCACAUAAACCGUUGGUCAAACAGGCACACGACACGACACGACUGUCAGUUUCCCUGAGACCGACGGCGGUGCAAUUACAGUCCCAGCAUAGCGUAUACAUAGAAAUAACGGAACAACUUGACUGGCCGGUGCCGUGCCUGGGAGAGCUGCUGGACAUCAUAAUCAUAUCUUACAGGUUGCUAGUAUACAGGUCUAAAACGCGGAGAGACCUGUUCAAGGAGGGGAAGAAGCUUCUCAGAUGAAUGGAAGCCUGUGUACAAGAAGAGCGGCUUCACAAUCCGCAAUGGGAAGCUCCACGGUUCGUUCCUCUACGUAAAAACAAUGGGCUAGACAGGGGAUGGCGGCGGGAGCGAUCAAAUCAAAAAGAAUACAGCCGGGGUCUCAGCCCAUCACCGAGCACGCGAUGUGCAACCAAUCCAAGAGAGAGCCUCCCGUCGGGCUGGGAGAAAAAAAAAA